AGGAUAAACGCUGGCGGCGUGCCUAACACAUGCAAGUCGAACGUCCUACGCAAGUAGGGAGUGGCGGACGGGUGAGUAGCACGUGGGCAAUCUACCUUUCGGUGAGGAAUACCGGCGAGAAAUCGCCGACAAUACCGCAUACGCUUCUCUUCACCGGGAAGCAAAGUUGCGCAAGCGACGCUCUGAGAUGGGCCUGUGGCCGAUUAGCUAGUUGGUGGGGUAACGGCCUACCAAGGCGACGAUCGGUAGCUGGUCUGAGAGGACGAUCAGCCACACUGGGAUUGAGAACGGCCCAGACUCCUACGGGGGCAGCAGUGAGGAAUUUUCCGCAAUGGACGCAAGUCUGACGGAGCAACGCCGCGUGCAGGAUGAAGGUUUUCGGAUCGUAAACUGCUUUUCGUCGGGGACGAGCAAGGGACGGUACCCGAGGAAGAACGCCCCGGACUAACGUACGCGCCAGCAGCCGC
This 467-nucleotide ribosomal RNA is filed under the name uncultured bacterium. RNAcentral's name for it is "SSU rRNA". It matches the Rfam family "Bacterial small subunit ribosomal RNA", at positions 26 to 518 of the family's 1533-position model. The record is from RNAcentral.